Molecule: ribosomal RNA, 251 nt
Filed under: uncultured bacterium
Lineage: Bacteria
Description: partial 16S ribosomal RNA
Rfam family: Bacterial small subunit ribosomal RNA
Source: RNAcentral
UACGAAGGGGGCUAGCGUUGCUCGGAAUCACUGGGCGUAAAGCGCACGUAGGCGGAUUCUUAAGUCAGGGGUGAAAUCCUGGAGCUCAACUCCAGAACUGCCUUUGAUACUGAGGUACUGUAGUUCGGGAGAGGUGAGUGGAACUGCGAGUGUAGAGGUGAAAUUCGUAGAUAUUCGCAAGAACACCAGUGGCGAAGGCGGCUCACUGGCCCGUAUCGACGCUGAGGCGCGAAAGCGUGGGGAGCAACAGG